CGAAAUCCCCUCGCUUACACCGAGAAAAUGUCUGUUUGAACCCAAACUAUUUUGA
This 55-nucleotide transfer RNA is filed under the name Amolops loloensis (rufous-spotted torrent frog). RNAcentral describes it as "tRNA-Val". Lineage: Eukaryota; Metazoa; Chordata; Amphibia; Anura; Ranidae. The record is from RNAcentral.